Molecule: ribosomal RNA, 251 nt
Filed under: uncultured bacterium
Lineage: Bacteria
Description: partial 16S ribosomal RNA
Rfam family: Bacterial small subunit ribosomal RNA
Source: RNAcentral
CGUAGGGGACGAGCGUUGUCCGGAUUCAUUGGGCGUAAAGCGCGCGUAGGCGGCUCGGUAAGUCGGUCGUGAAAUGCCGGGGCUCAACCCCGGGACUGCGUCCGAUACUCCCGAGCUGGAGGCAGGUAGGGGAGAUCGGAAUUCCUGGUGUAGCGGUGAAAUGCGCAGAUAUCAGGAGGAACACCGGUGGCGAAGGCGGAUCUCUGGGCCUUGCCUGACGCUGAGGCGCGAAAGCUAGGGGAGCGAACAGG